RNAcentral lists this transfer RNA (75 nucleotides) under Rhizobium sp. MHM7A. RNAcentral describes it as "tRNA-Pro". It matches the Rfam family "tRNA". From Rfam's summary of the family: Transfer RNA (tRNA) molecules are approximately 80 nucleotides in length. Their secondary structure includes four short double-helical elements and three loops (D, anti-codon, and T loops). The record is from RNAcentral. Lineage: Bacteria; Pseudomonadati; Pseudomonadota; Alphaproteobacteria; Hyphomicrobiales; Rhizobiaceae.
CUGGGUGUAGCUCAGCCUGUGUAGAGCGCCUGGCCUGGGACCAGGAGGACGGGGGUUCAAAUCCCUCCACCUUGA